GAAUUGACGGGGGCCCGCACAAGCAGUGGAGUAUGUGGUUUAAUUCGAAGCAACGCGAAGAACCUUACCAGGGCUUGACAUCCCUCUGACAGCUCUAGAGAUAGGGCUUCUCUUCGGAGCAGAGGAGACAGGUGGUGCAUGGUUGUCGUCAGCUCGUGUCGUGAGAUGUUGGGUUAAGUCCCGCAACGAGCGCAACCCUUGUUGUUAGUUGCCAUCAUUAAGUUGGGCACUCUAACGAGACUGCCGGUGAUAAAUCGGAGGAAGGUGGGGACGACGUCAAAUCAUCAUGCCCCUUAUGUCCUGGGCUACACACGUACUACAAUGGCUGCUACAAAGGGAAGCGAGACCGUGAGGUGGAGCAAAUCCCCAAAAGCAGUCCCAGUUCAGAUUGCAGGCUGAAACUCGCCUGCAUGAAGUCGGAAUUGCUAGUAAUGGCAGGUCAGCAUACUGCCGUGAAUACGUUCCCGGGCCUUGUACACACCG
Molecule: ribosomal RNA, 483 nt
Filed under: uncultured Clostridium sp.
Lineage: Bacteria; Bacillati; Bacillota; Clostridia; Eubacteriales; Clostridiaceae
Description: bacterial SSU rRNA
Rfam family: Bacterial small subunit ribosomal RNA
Source: RNAcentral